AUUGAACGCUGGCGACAUGCCUUACACAUGCAAGUCGAACGGUAACAGGUCUUCGGAUGCUGACGAGUGGCGAACGGGUGAGUAAUACAUCGGAACGUGCCUAGUAGUGGGGGAUAACUACUCGAAAGAGUGGCUAAUACCGCAUGAGAUCUACGGAUGAAAGCAGGGGAUCGCAAGACCUUGUGCUACUAGAGCGGCCGAUGGCAGAUUAGGUAGUUGGUGGGAUAAAAGCUUACCAAGCCGACGAUCUGUAGCUGGUCUGAGAGGACGAUCAGCCACACUGGGACUGAGACACGGCCCAGACUCCUGCGGGAGGCAGCAGUGGGGAAUUUUGGACAAUGGGCGCAAGCCUGAUCCAGCAAUGCCGCGUGCAGGAUGAAGGCCUUCGGGUUGUAAACUGCUUUUGUACGGAACGAAAAGCCCUGGGUUAAUACCCUGGGGUCAUGACGGUACCGUAAGAAUAAGCACCGGCUAACUACGUGCCAGCCGCCGCAGUAA
Molecule: ribosomal RNA, 498 nt
Filed under: uncultured bacterium
Lineage: Bacteria
Description: partial 16S ribosomal RNA
Rfam family: Bacterial small subunit ribosomal RNA
Source: RNAcentral